GGUGGCUCAGCGGUAGAGUGCUUGCCUUGCAAGCAUGAGGCCCUGAGUUUGAUUCCUCAGCACCA
This 65-nucleotide transfer RNA is filed under the name Dipodomys ordii (Ord's kangaroo rat). It matches the Rfam family "tRNA". From Rfam's summary of the family: Transfer RNA (tRNA) molecules are approximately 80 nucleotides in length. Their secondary structure includes four short double-helical elements and three loops (D, anti-codon, and T loops). Lineage: Eukaryota; Metazoa; Chordata; Mammalia; Rodentia; Heteromyidae. The record is from Rfam by way of RNAcentral.